AUUGAACGCUGGCGGAAUGCUUUACACAUGCAAGUCGAACGGCAGCACGGACUUCGGUCUGGUGGCGAGUGGCGAACGGGUGAGUAAUGUAUCGGAACGUGCCCAGUCGUGGGGGAUAACGUAGUGAAAAUUACGCUAAUACCGCAUACGAUCUAUGGAUGAAAGCGGGGGAUCGUAAGACCUCGCGCGAUUGGAGCGGCCGAUAUCAGAUUAGGUAGUUGGUGGGGUAAAGGCCCACCAAGCCAACGAUCUGUAGCUGGUCUGAGAGGACGACCAGCCACACUGGAACUGAGACACGGUCCAGACGCCUACGGGGGGCAGCAGUGGGGAAUUUUGGACAAUGGGCGAAAGCCUGAUCCAGCCAUUCCGCGUGCAGGAUGAAGGCCCUCGGGUUGUAAACUGCUUUUGUACAGAACGAAAAGGUUUCUACUAAUACUAGGAGCUCAUGACGGUACUGUAAGAAUAAGCACCGGCUAACUACGUGCCAGCCGCCGCUGUAA
Molecule: ribosomal RNA, 500 nt
Filed under: uncultured bacterium
Lineage: Bacteria
Description: partial 16S ribosomal RNA
Rfam family: Bacterial small subunit ribosomal RNA
Source: RNAcentral